UGAGAAGUGUGGCCCAUCACCUCCUGC
RNAcentral lists this non-coding RNA (27 nucleotides) under Mus musculus (house mouse). Lineage: Eukaryota; Metazoa; Chordata; Mammalia; Rodentia; Muridae. The record is from RNAcentral.